This 1691-nucleotide long non-coding RNA is filed under the name Mytilus galloprovincialis (Mediterranean mussel). Lineage: Eukaryota; Metazoa; Mollusca; Bivalvia; Mytilida; Mytilidae. The record is from RNAcentral.
UCUUUUUUAAUCAACAGGUAGAUGUCAUUCAGCAAAUAUAUAUCCUUUUGUUCAUUUGUUUUUUUCCCUAUAUUAAGGUGGUACCUAACACUACAGGAGAUAACUCUGUAAAAUCAGCAGAACGUUUUAAUGACGUUGUGUUCAUAAGGGAAUAUUAAGCUUCUCAAUGAUCAAAAUAAGUGUUUGUCAACUGCUAUAUAACCAGUGUAAUUUUUCUGAUUAAACGGUUGGUUCAAAUUUUUUGAAAUUUUUAUAUUUUUGUAAAAGGGUCAAAGUAAAUAAUUUAACAAAGUUUUAUGAAAAUUAAACGAGCCAAAUUAAUUUUAGUGAAAGUGUUGGGUACCACCUUAAGUCUAAUAAAUUAUUUAUAUCAUUUUUGUCUUGUAAACCUUUGUUUAAUAACUUAAACCUGUUCACUUCAUUCACUUAUUUUUGUGAAAAAGUUUAAAGCUGUUUCACAAAAUUUGUGCAUUUAUAUUUCUCUCAGUAUUGGGGAUCAGGUUUGUAUUUUUUUUUUUAUGUUGUCAGUGAUUUUGUUUUUAAUUAACCAGAUGGCAAAGUUGUAAUGUAAGAAACAAAUUUAUCAAAACUUCUUAAAUAGAAAUUUGUGAAAAACAUAAUGGAAAGAAUCCAUACCUUCCAACUAAAUGUUAUUAAUGUAAGUCUUCAUUAGAUAUUUUUCUUCUCUCCACAGUUGUCACAUAUAAAAAUUGUACCAGUGUCAAAAAGGUCAGAGAAAAAUAAUCAAAAACAUGAAUCAAAGAGGAUGCUACUCUUGUUCCACAAGUGGCAAUCUUGUGUUACUCUUGUUAAAUUCUGCUAGUAAUACAAUGAAGUUGGUGAUAAAAGAAGAUUGGUUGACGUCUAACCUAAAGAAACUACUAAAUUUAAAACACAAAACAAUCUUAACAAGAAAAUUUGAAAUUAAACAUAAGACAAAGGACAGACAAGACCAUGGCCAUUAGAAACACUGAAAAUCAAAAUGAUCACUUAUUCAUAACCCAAAAUAUAUCUGGAUUGAGUGACUUGUGCAAAAGCAGGGAGAUAAGAGAAUUUUAACCAAUGAAGAAGCACAAGUUAAGACAAAACCACAUGUUGAUUAUGUUUACAAAGGUUUGAGAAAGAAUAAAUCAACUAAGAACUAGAGUAAGGUGCCUUCAAUGUAAUUUUCAUUGUAUAAAAGAACAUCUAUAAAAUAUAUACAUCACUCAUUUAAUAAUUCAAGUCAGGAGUUGUCAAUGCACAGCUACUGUUAAAUAUUUUUUCCCACUUUCAAUAGACUAUUUUCAUAUUACCAACUUUUAACUCAGACUUUAUAAUUUUUCAAUAGGUACCCCGGUAACUAUUUCUGUGGUAAGACCUCCUGGUACUUGGUCAAGUAAGGGCCACCAAUAAAGUAAAAUUAAACAUAUAAUGGGUGAAAUUGAGGGAAAAGUUUACUGUUUUCAGUUGAGUUUGUUGUGCAAAGAAAAUAUAAAGCAAUUCACCCAAACAUUUGUAUAGAUUGAAAGCUUGAUUAUACAUGUACUUCUUUAAGUUGCAUUUACUGAACUUGGUACCAGGACGACCUACCACAGAGUAGAGUAGGUAUAGCCUGUCAAAAAAUAUCAAUUGGAGUCAAAAGUCAGUAUUAUAAAAAAAAAAGUCAACAAAUAUCAACCUAGAAAAUUAUUAUGUUAAGUUUAUAGAUC